UACGUAGGGGGCGAGCGUUGUCCGGAAUCAUUGGGCGUAAAGCGCGUGUAGGCGGCCCGGUAAGUCCGCUGUGAAAGUCCAGGGCUCAACCCCGGGAUGCCGGUGGAUACUGUCGGGCUCGAGUCCGGAAGAGGCGAGUGGAAUUCCUGGUGUAGCGGUGAAAUGCGCAGAUAUCAGGAGGAACACCAAUGGCGAAGGCAGCUCGCUGGGACGUGACUGACGCUGAGACGCGAAAGCGUGGGGAGCAAACAGG
RNAcentral lists this ribosomal RNA (253 nucleotides) under uncultured bacterium. RNAcentral describes it as "partial 16S ribosomal RNA". It matches the Rfam family "Bacterial small subunit ribosomal RNA", at positions 524 to 776 of the family's 1533-position model. The record is from RNAcentral.